Molecule: ribosomal RNA, 278 nt
Filed under: uncultured bacterium
Lineage: Bacteria
Description: partial 16S ribosomal RNA
Rfam family: Bacterial small subunit ribosomal RNA
Source: RNAcentral
GAGGGCCUACGGGGGGCAGCAGUAGGGAAUCUUCCACAAUGGGCGCAAGCCUGACCCAGCAACGCCGCGUGAAGGAAGAAGGCUUUCGGGUUGUAAACUUCUUUUGACAGGGAAGAGUAGAAGACGGUACCUGUCGAAUAAGCCACGGCUAACUACGAGCCAGCAGCCGCGGUAAUACGUAGGUGGCAAGCGUUGUCCGGAUUUACUGGGUGUAAAGGGCGUGUAGCCGGGUUGACAAGUCAGAUGUGAAAUCCUGCGGCUUAACCGCAGAACUGCAU